RNAcentral lists this ribosomal RNA (497 nucleotides) under uncultured bacterium. RNAcentral's name for it is "partial 16S ribosomal RNA". It matches the Rfam family "Bacterial small subunit ribosomal RNA", at positions 28 to 507 of the family's 1533-position model. The record is from RNAcentral.
GACGAACGCUGGCGGCGUGCCUAAUACAUGCAAGUAGAACGCUGAAGAGAGGAGCUUGCUCUUCUUGGAUGAGUUGCGAACGGGUGAGUAACGCGUAGGUAACCUGCCUUGUAGCGGGGGAUAACUAUUGGAAACGAUAGCUAAUACCGCAUAACAAUGGAUGACACAUGUCAUUUAUUUGAAAGGGGCAAUUGCUCCACUACGAGAUGGACCUGCGUUGUAUUAGCUAGUAGGUGAGGUAACGGCUCACCUAGGCGACGAUACAUAGCCGACCUGAGAGGGUGAUCGGCCACACUGGGACUGAGACACGGCCCAGACUCCUACGGGAGGCAGCAGUAGGGAAUCUUCGGCAAUGGGGGCAACCCUGACCGAGCAACGCCGCGAGAGUGAAGAAGGGUUUCGGAUCGUAAAGCUCUGUUGUAAGUCAAGAACGAGUGUGAGAGUGGAAAGUUUACACUGUGACGGUAGCUUACCAGAAAGGGACGGCUAACUACGUG